UUGGAGGGCAAGUCUGGUGCCAGCAGCCGCGGUAAUUCCAGCUCCAAUAGCGUAUAUUAAAGUUGUUGCAGUUAAAAAGCUCGUAGUUGAAUUUCGGGAUCAAAUUGUCGGUCGUGCCUCGGUACGCACUGGUAUUAUUGGUUCCUACCUUCUGAAGAACCGCGAUGUCAUUAAUUUGGUGUCGUGGGGAAUCAGGACUGUUACUUUGAAAAAAUUAGAGUGUUUAAAGCAGGCUUACGCUUGAAUACAUUAGCAUGGAAUAAUGAAAUAGGACGUUUGAUUCUAUUUUGUUGGUUUCUAGGAUUGACGUAAUGAUUAAUAGGGAUAGUUGGGGGCAUUAGUAUUCAAUUGUCAGAGGUGAAAUUCUUGGAUUUAUUGAAGACUAACUACUGCGAAAGCAUUUGCCAAGGAUGUUUUCAUUAAUCAAGAACGAAAGUUAGGGGAUCGAAGACGAUCAGAUACCGUCGUAGUCUUAACCAUAAACUAUGCCGACUAGGGAUCGGAUGAUGUUAAUUUUUUAAUGACUCAUUCGGCGCCUUACGGGAAACCAAAGUGUUUGGGUUC
Molecule: ribosomal RNA, 564 nt
Filed under: uncultured Glomeromycotina
Lineage: Eukaryota; Fungi; Glomeromycota
Description: SSU rRNA
Rfam family: Eukaryotic small subunit ribosomal RNA
Source: RNAcentral